GGUACGGAGUAUGAAAGUUGAAGGAUCCGCUUUCGGUGGAGAGCGUACACAGGUGCUGCAUGGCUGUCGUCAGCUCGUGUCGUGAGAUGUUGGGUUAAGUCCGCAACGAGCGCAACCCCUGCAUUCAGUUGCCAUCGGGUGAAGCCGGGCACUCUGGAAGGACUGCCAUCGACAAGAUGGAGGAAGGUGGGGACGACGUCAAGUCAUCAUGGCCCUUAUGUCCAGGGCGACACACGUGCUACAAUGGCCGGCACAACGGGAAGCGAGUUCGCGAGGACGAGCGGAUCCCUUAAAGCCGGUCGCAGUUCGGAUUGAAGUCUGCAACUCGACUUCAUGAAGCUGGAAUCGCUAGUAAUCGCAGAUCAGCCAAGCUGCGGUGAAUACGUUCCCGGGCCUU
This 397-nucleotide ribosomal RNA is filed under the name uncultured Synergistaceae bacterium. Its description in RNAcentral is "bacterial SSU rRNA". It matches the Rfam family "Bacterial small subunit ribosomal RNA", at positions 988 to 1382 of the family's 1533-position model. The record is from RNAcentral. Lineage: Bacteria; Thermotogati; Synergistota; Synergistia; Synergistales; Synergistaceae.